This 235-nucleotide ribosomal RNA is filed under the name uncultured Actinomycetales bacterium. RNAcentral describes it as "partial 16S ribosomal RNA". It matches the Rfam family "Bacterial small subunit ribosomal RNA", at positions 96 to 334 of the family's 1533-position model. Lineage: Bacteria; Bacillati; Actinomycetota; Actinomycetes; Actinomycetales. The record is from RNAcentral.
UGGCGAACGGGUGAGUAACACGUGGGUGAUCUGCCCUGCACUCUGGGAUAAGCCUGGGAAACUGGGUCUAAUACCGGAUAGGACCAUGCUUUAGUGUGUGUGGUGGAAAGUUUUUUCGGUGUAGGAUUAGCCCGCGGCCUAUCAGCUUGUUGGUGGGGUAAUGGCCUACCAAGGCGGCGACGGGUAGCCGGACUGAGAGGUUGGUCGGCCACAUUGGGACUGAGAUACGGCCCAG